RNAcentral lists this ribosomal RNA (405 nucleotides) under uncultured bacterium. RNAcentral describes it as "partial 16S ribosomal RNA". It matches the Rfam family "Bacterial small subunit ribosomal RNA", at positions 28 to 526 of the family's 1533-position model. The record is from RNAcentral.
GAUGAACGCUGGCGGCGUGCCUAAUACAUGCAAGUCGAGCGAAGCGGGGACGGGUGAGUAACACGUGGAUAACCUCCUAUAAGACUGGGAUAACUUCGGGAAACCGGAGCUAAACCGGAUACUUAUCGAUGGAUCCGCGUGGCAUUAGCUAGUUGGUAAGGUAACGGCUUACCAAGGCACGGAUGCAUAGCCGACCUGAGAGGGUGAUCGGCAAAACUGGAACUGAGACCCGGUCCAGACUCCAACGGGAGGCAGAAGUAGGGAACUUUCCGCAAUGGGCGAAAGCCUGACGGAGAAACGCCGCGUGAGUGAUGAAGGUCUUCGGAUCGUAAGACUCUGUUAUUAGGGAAGCGGUACCUAAUCAGAAAGCCACGGCUAACUACGUGCCAGCAGCCGCGGUAAUAC